AACGAACGCUGGCGGCAUGCCUAACACAUGCAAGUCGAACGAGACCUUCGGGUCUAGUGGCGCACGGGUGCGUAACGCGUGGGAAUCUACCCUUGGGUUCGGAAUAACAGUGAGAAAUUACUGCUAAUACCGGAUGAUGUCGCAAGACCAAAGAUUUAUCGCCCAAGGAUGAGCCCGCGUAGGAUUAGCUUGUUGGUGAGGUAAAAGCUCACCAAGGCGACGAUCCUUAGCUGGUCUGAGAGGAUGAUCAGCCACACUGGGACUGAGACACGGCCCAGACUCCUACGGGAGGCAGCAGUGGGGAAUAUUGGACAAUGGGCGAAAGCCUGAUCCAGCAAUGCCGCGUGAGUGAUGAAGGCCUUAGGGUUGUAAAGCUCUUUACCCGAGAUGAUAAUGACAGUAUCGGGAGAAUAAGCUCCGGCUAACUCCGUGCCAGCAGCCGCGGUAAUGUGACUACUG
RNAcentral lists this ribosomal RNA (459 nucleotides) under uncultured bacterium. RNAcentral's name for it is "bacterial SSU rRNA". It matches the Rfam family "Bacterial small subunit ribosomal RNA", at positions 29 to 534 of the family's 1533-position model. The record is from RNAcentral.